GAGUUUGAUCGUGGCUCAGAUUGAACGCUGGCGGCAGGCCUAACACAUGCAAGUCGAGCGGUAGAGAGAGGCUUGCUUCUCUUGAGAGCGGCGGACGGGUGAGUAAUGCCUAGGAAUCUGCCUGGUAGUGGGGGAUAACGCUCGGAAACGGACGCUAAUACCGCAUACGUCCUACGGGAGAAAGCAGGGGACCUUCGGGCCUUGCGCUAUCAGAUGAGCCUAGGUCGGAUUAGCUAGUUGGUGAGGUAAUGGCUCACCAAGGCGACGAUCCGUAACUGGUCUGAGAGGAUGAUCAGUCACACUGGAACUGAGACACGGUCCAGACUCCUACGGGAGGCAGCAGUGGGGAAUAUUGGACAAUGGGCGAAAGCCUGAUCCAGCCAUGCCGCGUGUGUGAAGAAGGUCUUCGGAUUGUAAAGCACUUUAAGUUGGGAGAAGGGCAGUAAAUUAAUACUUUGCUGUUUUGACGUUACCGACAGAAUAAGCACCGGCUAACUCUAGUGCCAGCA
RNAcentral lists this ribosomal RNA (509 nucleotides) under uncultured bacterium. Its description in RNAcentral is "bacterial SSU rRNA". It matches the Rfam family "Bacterial small subunit ribosomal RNA", at positions 9 to 513 of the family's 1533-position model. The record is from RNAcentral.